This 550-nucleotide ribosomal RNA is filed under the name uncultured bacterium. RNAcentral's name for it is "bacterial SSU rRNA". It matches the Rfam family "Bacterial small subunit ribosomal RNA", at positions 355 to 896 of the family's 1533-position model. The record is from RNAcentral.
UGGGGAAUCUUCCGCAAUGGACGAAAGUCUGACGGAGCAACGCCGCGUGAGUGAUGAAGGUCUUCGGAUUGUAAAGCUCUGUUAAUCGGGACGAAAGAGUUCUGUGUGAAUAAUGCAGAAAAGUGACGGUACCGGAAUAGAAAGCCACGGCUAACUACGUGCCAGCAGCCGCGGUAAUACGUAGGUGGCAAGCGUUGUCCGGAAUUAUUGGGCGUAAAGCGCGCGCAGGCGGCCUAUCCAGUCUGUCUUAAAAGUUCGGGGCUCAACCCCGUGAUGGGAUGGAAACUAGUAGGCUAGAGUAUCGGAGAGGAAAGCGGAAUUCCUAGUGUAGCGGUGAAAUGCGUAGAUAUUAGGAAGAACACCAGUGGCGAAGGCGGCUUUCUGGACGAAAACUGACGCUGAGGCGCGAAAGCCAGGGGAGCGAACGGGAUUAGAUACCCCGGUAGUCCUGGCCGUAAACGAUGGGUACUAGGUGUAGGAGGUAUCGACCCCUUCUGUGCCGGAGUUAACGCAAUAAGUACCCCGCCUGGGGAGUACGGUCGCAAGGCUG